CAUUUUUUGAUGCAAUAUUUUGAAAGAAAAGUGUUGUACAGCUUCAUCAGUGCUGCAUGCAUUUCUUGGUUUCCUUUUUUGCUGUGUGCUUCCCUCCAGCCUGGCUGUCUGUGUCCACCUGUCGACCCUGCUCUUAUAUUUCAAUUGAAUUUGCCAUUUGGAAAAAGGAAAAAAGAAAAAUGUUUAAUUAGAGAUGGAGCUAAAGCAGCUAAUUUGAUCUUCCAAUGGAAAAAAGAAUUACAGGUUAAAAAUGAAGAUUAUAUGCUCUGGGUGAAGAAUGCUCCCUCCUUUCAGGAAUGUGAGGAUUAGAUGGUCUUCUCUGCUUGUGUGGUGACUCCACCAAUGCCCUGCGAAGCGAUCAUGUUCUCCUUUCCUAAAGCCCGGGUUGGAUUGGCAGCAGCGGUGCAACAGCAGAUGCAUGAAUGGGAUUCCAGUGUGCAGCAUCCCAUCCGUGAGGGAAGGAGGGCACCGCUCUGCAGGACGAGCUUCAUGGGAGCUGGAGCAGGACCUUGGAGCCAAGCGAGGACUCCAAGAAAACAUGGGUGGCAUCCAGCUCUGCUUCACAGGCAGUGAAACCCGCUGACUGCAGCACCAUGAUUUCUGAAGGUCGGAUCCAGCUGCCAGGCUGAAAGUUUUCAGUGGAGUAAAGUGGCUGCGAGUGACAGCAGGAAGCGGCCAGCAAGCUGCACAAGUGGCAGAAUGAGGUCUUAGAUCCCCUUGCUAAGUACCUUGGCCACUAUAAGCAACUUCUGGUCUCUCUGGUGUGCACCUCAUGGUCUGGAGGACUGUCAUUGCCCAGGAUAUUUCAAAGCGUUUCCUGAGCUCAUUGGUACACUUACUUCUUUUUCAGAAUUAAGCAGCUUUUUGGCCAAGUAAAACUUCAAGGGUGUUGGGGAGGACAGAAAUAAAUCAUAGAAUCAGUAAGGUUGGAAAAGACCU
RNAcentral lists this long non-coding RNA (939 nucleotides) under Numida meleagris (helmeted guineafowl). RNAcentral's name for it is "lncRNA (ENSNMEG00000016315.1)". The record is from RNAcentral. Lineage: Eukaryota; Metazoa; Chordata; Aves; Galliformes; Numididae.